UAGGAAAAUGUGCACAUUAAUAAAACUAUAAUACAUUUCUUCCCACUUCAAGCUUAUAUUUAUGAAUUUGCCUAAAAAAAAAAUGCUCUCCCUUACAUAUGAAACACAAUGUACUACGUGACAAAUAGGAAGUUAAAAUAUAUGUACAACCUUGAAAACAUAGCUAGGGAAACAGGGAGGCAGAGAGGCCACAUAUUGCAGGAUUCCAUUGCUACGAAGUCUCCAGAAUAGGCCAACCCACAAAGACAGAAAAUACAUUGCUGGCUGCCAGAGGUUGCUGGGAAAGGAGGGGGGACUACUGCUAAUGGAUAUCGGGUUUCUCUUUGAGAGUGAUGAAAAAGUUCCAGAAAUGUACUAAGUGGCCGGGCACACUGGCUCACGCCUGUAAUCCCAGCACUUGGGGAAGUCAAGGUGGGCAGAUCACAUGAAGUCAGGAGUUUGAGACCAGCCUGGCCAACAUGGCAAAACCCGUCU
RNAcentral lists this long non-coding RNA (474 nucleotides) under Homo sapiens (human). RNAcentral describes it as "non-protein coding lnc-DTNBP1-8:1". The record is from RNAcentral. Lineage: Eukaryota; Metazoa; Chordata; Mammalia; Primates; Hominidae.